ACAAGCGAAUAAGGGCACAUGGUGGAUGCCUUGGCGAUUACAGGCGAUGAAGGACGUAGUAGCUUGCGAUAAGCUGCGGGGAGUGAGCAAACACACUUUGAUCCGCAGAUUUCCGAAUGGGGAAACCCGUUAUACUGAAGGUAUAACACCACUUACGUGGAGCAAACCCGGAGAACUGAAACAUCUAAGUACCCGGAGGAAAAGAAAACAAUACAGUGAUUUCCUAAGUAGUGGCGAGCGAAAGGGAAACAGCCCAAACCCCGGCGGUUACGGCCGACGGGGGGUUGUAGGACCGGUUUUUAAACAAUCAAACGAAGCAUAAGAGUUCUGGAAAGUGCUGCCAUAGAGGGUGAUAGUCCCGUUUGCGUAAAGUUGAUUGUUGUACCGGUAUCCUGAGUACUGCGAGGUCGGAGACGCCUUGUAGGAAUCUGCCAGCACCAUCUGGUAAGGCUAAAUACUCUCAAGAGACCGAUAGUGAACAAGUACUGUGAAGGAAAGGUGAAAAGAACCGCGAACAGCGGAGUGAAAUAGAACCUGAAACCAUGCGCUUACAAGCGGUCGGAGUCCUUCGGGAUGACGGCGUGCCUUUUGCAUAAUGAGCCUACGAGUUACUCUUCACUGGCAAGGUUAAUCCCGUUGACGGGAGGAGCCGAAGCGAAAGCGAGUCUGAAUAGGGCGCAUAGUCAGUGGAGGUAGACGCGAAACCUUGUGAUCUACCCUUGGCCAGGUUGAAGUCUCGGUAACACGAGAUGGAGGACCGAACUGGUAAACGUUGAAAAGUUUUCGGAUGAGCUGAGGGUAGGGGUGAAAGGCUAAUCAAACUGGGAAAUAGCUCGUACUCCCCGAAAUGUUUUUAGGAACAGCCUCGAGGUUAAGUAUUACAGAGGUAGAGCUACCGAUUGGACUAGGGGGCUUCACCGCCUACCAAAUCCUGACGAACUCCGAAUACUGUAAUAUAUACUCGGGAGUGAGCCCAUGGGUGCUAAGGUCCUUGGGCGAGAGGGAAAGAACCCAGACCAACAGCUAAGGUCCCCAAAUGUAUGUUAAGUUGAUCUAACGUGGUCCGAUUGCAUUGACAGCUAGGAUGUUUGCUUGGAAGCAGCAAUUCAUUUAAAGAGUGCGUAACAGCUCACUAGUCGAGCGAUUGGGCGUGGAUAAUACUCGGGCAUUAAACAUACUACCGAAGCUUUGGACAUAGUAAUAUGUGGUAGGGGAGCAUUCCAACGACACAGAAGGUAUAGCUUGAGCUGUGCUGGAGUUUUUGGAAAAGCAAAUGUAGGCAUAAGUAACGAUAAUGCAGGCGAGAAACCUGCACACCGAAAACCCAAGGUUUCCUGAUCAACGCUAAUCGGAUCAGGGUUAGUCGGGGCCUAACACGUAUCCGAACGGAGAAGUGGAUGGACAACAGGUUAAUAUUCCUGUACCAGCAUAAAAUGCGAUGUAGAGACGAAGUAGUGAAAGAUCUGCGCACUGACGGAUUAGUGCGUUAAAUGGUGUAGGUAUAGAUUUGGUAGGUAAAUCCGCCAGGUCUGCCGAACCUGACAGUACCGCGAGUCUUCGGACAAGUGGAUAAUGAUCCUAAACAGACUUCCAAGAAAAUCUGCUAAGCUUCAGUUUUGUGCUGCCCGUACCGUAAACCGACACAGGUGGGUGGGAAGAAUAUUCUAAGGUGCUCGAGUGAGUCACGGCUAAGGAACUAGGCAAAUUAACCCUGUAACUUCGGAAGAAAGGGUACCCGUCGCAAGGCGGGUCGCAGAGAAAUGGUCCAGGCAACUGUUUAUCAAAAACACAUGGCUAUGCGAAAUCGAAAGAUGAUGUAUAUGGCCUGACACCUGCCCGGUGCUGGAAGGUUAAGAGGAGAUGUCAGCUCACGCGAAGCAUUGAAUUGAAGCCCCAGUAAACGGCGGCCGUAACUAUAACGGUCCUAAGGUAGCGAAAUUCCUUGUCGGGUAAGUUCCGACCUGCACGAAUGGUGUAAUGAUCUGGGCACUGUCUCAGCCGUGAGCUCGGUGAAAUUGUAGUAUCGGUGAAGAUGCCGAUUACCCGCAACGGGACGGAAAGACCCCAUGCACCUUCACUAUAGCUUAACAUUGACUUUGGAUAAUUGAUGUGUAGGAUAGGUGGGAGACUUUGAAGUAUCGACGCCAGUCGGUAUGGAGUCAACCUUGAAAUACCACCCUUUAAUUAUUUGGAGUCUAACCCCGCAAAGCGGGGAACAGUGUUUGGUGGGUAGUUUGACUGGGGUGGUCGCCUCCAAAAAAGUAUCGGAGGCUUUCAAAGGUACCCUCAACACGCUUGGUAACCGUGUGUAGAGUGCAAUAGCAUAAGGGUGCUUGACUGUGAGACCGACAAGUCGAGCAGGUACGAAAGUAGGAUAUAGUGAUCCGGUGGUUCCGCAUGGAAGGGCCAUCGCUCAUAGGAUAAAAGGUACGCUGGGGAUAACAGGCUGAUCUCCCCCAAGAGCUCACAUCGACGGGGGGGUUUGGCACCUCGAUGUCGGCUCGUCACAUCCUGGGGCUGGAGAAGGUCCCAAGGGUUAGGCUGUUCGCCUAUUAAAGUGGCACGCGAGCUGGGUUCAGAACGUCGUGAGACAGUUCGGUCCCUAUCUGUUGUGGGCGUUAGAAAUUUGAGGGAACCUGACUCUAGUACGAGAGGACCGAGUUGGACGAACCUCUGGUGUAUCUGUUGUGGCGCCAGCUGCAGUGCAGAGUAGCUAAGUUCGGUUGAGAUAAGC
This 2734-nucleotide ribosomal RNA is filed under the name freshwater metagenome. Its description in RNAcentral is "bacterial LSU rRNA". It matches the Rfam family "Bacterial large subunit ribosomal RNA". The record is from RNAcentral.